Molecule: long non-coding RNA, 294 nt
Organism: Papilio polytes (common Mormon)
Lineage: Eukaryota; Metazoa; Arthropoda; Insecta; Lepidoptera; Papilionidae
Exons: 3
Source: RefSeq, a predicted model, not a curated record
GACGAUCCGGACGACCCGGACGACCCGGACGACCUUGACGACCCGGACGACGACCAACCACCUCUCAUACCUCCUGUAGGACUUAAGGUGAUAAUGUUAAGUGGAACUACAGCUGUGGUAUACUGGACUGAUCCAACUCUACCUAAAGGACAAACGGCGACAGAUGGGCGUCGGUACGUGGUGCGGUGGGCGGCGAGCGGCGGCCGCGCGCGCACCUACAACGCCAGCGACCUCAACUGCAUGCUGGACGAUCUGCGACCUUACACCACUUACGAAUUCGCGGUUAAACUUAUA